This 110-nucleotide ribosomal RNA is filed under the name Prunus dulcis (almond). Lineage: Eukaryota; Viridiplantae; Streptophyta; Magnoliopsida; Rosales; Rosaceae. The record is from RNAcentral.
UUGGGAGCUCAUUGGCUUUGGAGUAAUGGGAACUCCGAAGUUAAGGGAGUUUGGGCUAGAGCAAUCCCAGGAUAGGUGACCAACUGGGAAGUUUCUUGUGAGUUCUUAGA